CUCCGGUUGAUCCUGCCGGACCCGACUGCUAUCAGAGUGGGACUAAGCCAUGCGAGUCGACGUAGCAAUGCGUGGCGAACGGCUCAGUAACACGUAGUCAACAUGCCCAGGGGACGUGGAUAACCUCGGGAAACUGAGAAUAAACCACGAUAGGUCACGAUUUCUGGAAUGGAUCAUGGCCUAAAUCUACAUGGCCCCUGGAUUGGACUGCGGCCGAUCAGGCUGUUGGUGAGGUAAUGGCCCACCAAACCUAUAACCGGUACGGGCUCUGAGAGGAGAAGCCCGGAGAUGGGCACUGAGACACGGACCCAGGCCCUAUGGGGCGCAGCAGGCGAGAAACCUUAGCAAUGUGCGAAAGCACGACUGGGUCAGUCCGAGUGAUUCCUGAUAAAGGAGUCUUUUGCUUGUCCUAAAAGCACAGGUGAAUAAGGGGUGGGCAAGUCUGGUGUCAGCCGCCGCGGUAAUACCAGCACCUCGAGUGGUCAGGACGUUUAUUGGGCCUAAAGCAUCCGUAGCCGGCUCUGCAAGUCUUCGGUUAAAUCCACCUGCUCAACAGAUGGGCUGCUGGAGAUACUACAGAGCUAGGGAGUGGGAGAGGCAGACGGUAUUCAGUGGGUAGGGGUAAAAUCCUCUGAUCCAUUGAGGACCACCAGUGGCGAAGGCGGUCUGCCAGAACACGUUCGACGGUGAGGGAUGAAAGCUGGGGGAGCAAACCGGAUUAGAUACCCGGGUAGUCCCAGCUGUAAACGAUGCAAACUCGGUGAUGCAUUGGCUUAUGGCCAAUGCAGUGCCGCAGGGAAGCCGUUAAGUUUGCCGCCUGGGAAGUACGGACGCAAGUCUGAAACUUAAAGGAAUUGGCGGGGGAGCA
This 868-nucleotide ribosomal RNA is filed under the name uncultured archaeon. Its description in RNAcentral is "bacterial SSU rRNA". It matches the Rfam family "Archaeal small subunit ribosomal RNA", at positions 1 to 878 of the family's 1478-position model. The record is from RNAcentral.